CCUACGGGAGGCAGCAGUGGGGAAUAUUGGACAAUGGGGGGAACCCUGAUCCAGCCAUGCCGCGUGUGUGAAGAAGGCCCUCGGGUUGUAAAGCACUUUCAGUGAGGAAGAACGCCUGGUGGUUAAUACCCAUCAGGAAAGACAUCACUCACAGAAGAAGCACCGGCUAACUCCGUGCCAGCAGCCGCGGUAAUACGGAGGGUGCGAGCGUUAAUCGGAAUUACUGGGCGUAAAGCGCGCGUAGGUGGCUUGAUAAGCCGGUUGUGAAAGCCCCGGGCUCAACCUGGGAACGGCAUCCGGAACUGUCCAGCUAGAGUGCAGGAGAGGAAGGUAGAAUUCCCGGUGUAGCGGUGAAAUGCGUAGAGAUCGGGAGGAAUACCAGUGGCGAAGGCGGCCUUCUGGACUGACACUGACACUGAGGUGCGAAAGCGUGGGUAGCAAACAGGAUUAGAUACCCGAGUAGUC
RNAcentral lists this ribosomal RNA (465 nucleotides) under Vreelandella stevensii. RNAcentral describes it as "partial 16S ribosomal RNA". It matches the Rfam family "Bacterial small subunit ribosomal RNA", at positions 338 to 795 of the family's 1533-position model. Lineage: Bacteria; Pseudomonadati; Pseudomonadota; Gammaproteobacteria; Oceanospirillales; Halomonadaceae. The record is from RNAcentral.